RNAcentral lists this ribosomal RNA (484 nucleotides) under uncultured bacterium. RNAcentral's name for it is "partial 16S ribosomal RNA". It matches the Rfam family "Bacterial small subunit ribosomal RNA", at positions 29 to 507 of the family's 1533-position model. The record is from RNAcentral.
AUUGAACGCUGGCGGCAUGCUUUACACAUGCAAGUCGAACGGCAGCGCGGGCUUCGGCCUGGCGGCGAGUGGCGAACGGGUGAGUAAUACAUCGGAACGUGCCCAGUAGUGGGGGAUAGCUCGGCGAAAGCCGGAUUAAUACCGCAUACGACCUGAGGGUGCAAGCGGGGGAUCUUCGGACCUCGCGCUAUUGGAGCGGCCGAUGGCCGAUUAGCUAGUUGGUGGGGUAAAGGCCUACCAAGGCGACGAUCUGUAGCUGGUCUGAGAGGACGACCAGCCACACUGGGACUGAGACACGGCCCAGACUCCUACGGGAGGCAGCAGUGGGGAAUUUUGGACAAUGGGCGAAAGCCUGAUCCAGCAAUGCCGCGUGUGUGAUGAAGGCCUUCGGGUUGUAAAGCACUUUUGGCGGGAACGAAAAGGACUGUGCCAAUACCACGGUUCGAUGACGGUACCCGCAGAAUAAGCACCGGCUAACUACGUG